UAAGAAACACACCACACACCGUUAACAAAAAACAGGACACAGAAAAUUUGAACAUAGUUUAUGCCGGUUUACUCCACAAUAUCAAAAUAUUGUACACUCCUAGUCAGAACCAAUAGCCAAAACAAACACGGAAAACACACCAAUACUACAACAUCUCUGUAACACACUCACACAUAGGUAGGGGGGGUACUGUCAAUAAUUGUCGCUACCAAGAAAGUGGUGGUUACCAAUACGAGCUUUAUACGAAAAGGGAAAGUAAAACACGAAAAGUACCGCGUAAACAAGCUCGGGUUCCACUGUCCAAAUUGACCGUUGGUUUUAUCCAGAUUACCCGGAUGAAUACCAAUCAGAAACAACAAACGACACUAACGACAGUUUACACUUUGACUAAAACUACACUGGACGAGAAACAAUCCUUCUUAAUUCCCUGAAGAAGACCCCAUAGAGGGUUGAAACGUUGGAUACGAGAAAAUAAGCGUUGUUUCGAAUUUUCCCGCCAAGACCGAAAAGCCGAAAACCUAACCUAUAAUUAUAUUUAA
This is a long non-coding RNA of Culex pipiens pallens (northern house mosquito), 539 nucleotides long. RefSeq lists it as uncharacterized. The record is from RefSeq and is a predicted model, not a curated record. Lineage: Eukaryota; Metazoa; Arthropoda; Insecta; Diptera; Culicidae. The transcript is spliced from 3 exons.